Molecule: ribosomal RNA, 1522 nt
Filed under: Shigella dysenteriae
Lineage: Bacteria; Pseudomonadati; Pseudomonadota; Gammaproteobacteria; Enterobacterales; Enterobacteriaceae
Description: bacterial SSU rRNA
Rfam family: Bacterial small subunit ribosomal RNA
Source: RNAcentral
AGAGUUUGAUCAUGGCUCAGAUUGAACGCUGGCGGCAGGCCUAACACAUGCAAGUCGAACGGUAACAGGAAACAGCUUGCUGUUUCGCUGACGAGUGGCGGACGGGUGAGUAAUGUCUGGGAAACUGCCUGAUGGAGGGGGAUAACUACUGGAAACGGUAGCUAAUACCGCAUAAUGUCGCAAGACCAAAGAGGGGGACCUUAGGGCCUCUUGCCAUCGGAUGUGCCCAGAUGGGAUUAGCUUGUUGGUGGGGUAACGGCUCACCAAGGCGACGAUCCCUAGCUGGUCUGAGAGGAUGACCAGCCACACUGGAACUGAGACACGGUCCAGACUCCUACGGGAGGCAGCAGUGGGGAAUAUUGCACAAUGGGCGCAAGCCUGAUGCAGCCAUGCCGCGUGUAUGAAGAAGGCCUUCGGGUUGUAAAGUACUUUCAGCGGGGAGGAAGGGAGUAAAGUUAAUACCUUUGCUCAUUGACGUUACCCGCAGAAGAAGCACCGGCUAACUCCGUGCCAGCAGCCGCGGUAAUACGGAGGGUGCAAGCGUUAAUCGGAAUUACUGGGCGUAAAGCGCACGCAGGCGGUUUGUUAAGUCAGAUGUGAAAUCCCCGGGCUCAACCUGGGAACUGCAUCUGAUACUGGCAAGCUUGAGUCUCGUAGAGGGGGGUAGAAUUCCAGGUGUAGCGGUGAAAUGCGUAGAGAUCUGGAGGAAUACCGGUGGCGAAGGCGGCCCCCUGGACGAAGACUGACGCUCAGGUGCGAAAGCGUGGGGAGCAAACAGGAUUAGAUACCCUGGUAGUCCACGCCGUAAACGAUGUCGACUUGGAGGUUGUGCCCUUGAGGCGUGGCUUCCGGAGCUAACGCGUUAAGUCGACCGCCUGGGGAGUACGGCCGCAAGGUUAAAACUCAAAUGAAUUGACGGGGGCCCGCACAAGCGGUGGAGCAUGUGGUUUAAUUCGAUGCAACGCGAAGAACCUUACCUGGUCUUGACAUCCACGGAAGUUUUCAGAGAUGAGAAUGUGCCUUCGGGAACCGUGAGACAGGUGCUGCAUGGCUGUCGUCAGCUCGUGUUGUGAAAUGUUGGGUUAAGUCCCGCAACGAGCGCAACCCUUAUCCUUUGUUGCCAGCGGUCCGGCCGGGAACUCAAAGGAGACUGCCAGUGAUAAACUGGAGGAAGGUGGGGAUGACGUCAAGUCAUCAUGGCCCUUACGACCAGGGCUACACACGUGCUACAAUGGCGCAUACAAAGAGAAGCGACCUCGCGAGAGCAAGCGGACCUCAUAAAGUGCGUCGUAGUCCGGAUUGGAGUCUGCAACUCGACUCCAUGAAGUCGGAAUCGCUAGUAAUCGUGGAUCAGAAUGCCACGGUGAAUACGUUCCCGGGCCUUGUACACACCGCCCGUCACACCAUGGGAGUGGGUUGCAAAAGAAGUAGGUAGCUUAACCUUCGGGAGGGCGCUUACCACUUUGUGAUUCAUGACUGGGGUGAAGUCGUAACAAGGUAACCGUAGGGGAACCUGCGGUUG